This 389-nucleotide long non-coding RNA is filed under the name Mustela putorius furo (domestic ferret). RNAcentral's name for it is "lncRNA (ENSMPUG00000030298.1)". Lineage: Eukaryota; Metazoa; Chordata; Mammalia; Carnivora; Mustelidae. The record is from RNAcentral.
AAAUAAAUAAAUAAAACCUUAAUUUUUUGUUUGUUUGUUUUUAGGUAACUGGAAGUUGGUCAAUUGCCAAAGGUGACUGAAAUUAAUUGUUUUAAGUGAUUACAAUCUACCAUGGAAACUAAAAUGAUUAAUCAGUCAAGGCCAUAUGCCAUCUGAACAGACCGGCUCGGGCAGUAGCUACUGAAGAAUUGUGUACUUCCAGAGAAGUGGGCCAGAAAGCAGGAAGCCUUUUUGAGGCGUCAAAAAGAACAUAUUUAGGAACUACAAAUCUCUCCACGUCAAGCAUUAUUAUAGCAACUAGAGAUAAUAAAAUGAAGUCCACAGAAGUUAAGAAAAUGAAAGUGAAGAUUUGAAUUAGGCUCCAGAGACUUUCCAUUGACCAUCAUGCC